RNAcentral lists this non-coding RNA (27 nucleotides) under Rattus norvegicus (Norway rat). Lineage: Eukaryota; Metazoa; Chordata; Mammalia; Rodentia; Muridae. The record is from RNAcentral.
UAACAAAGGUAGCACAAAAGGAUGGGA